CGGCGGACGGGUGAGUAACGCGUGGGUAACCUGCCUCAUGCAGGGGGAUAACAGUUAGAAAUGACUGCUAAUACCGCAUAAGACCACAGCACCGCAUGGUGCAGGGGUAAAAACUCCGGUGGUAUGAGAUGGACCCGCGUCUGAUUAGCUAGUUGGUAAGGUAACGGCUUACCAAGGCGACGAUCAGUAGCCGACCUGAGAGGGUGACCGGCCACAUUGGGACUGAGACACGGCCCAA
RNAcentral lists this ribosomal RNA (238 nucleotides) under uncultured bacterium. RNAcentral's name for it is "partial 16S ribosomal RNA". It matches the Rfam family "Bacterial small subunit ribosomal RNA", at positions 96 to 334 of the family's 1533-position model. The record is from RNAcentral.